UGGGGAAUAUUGCACAAUGGGCGCAAGCCUGAUGCAGCCAUGCCGCGUGUAUGAAGAAGGCCUUCGGGUUUUAAAGUACUUUCAGCGGGGAGGAAGGGAGUAAAGUUAAUACCUUUGCUCAUUGACGUUACCCGCAGAAGAAGCACCGGCUAACUCCGUGCCAGCAGCCGCGGUAAUACGGAGGGUGCAAGCGUUAAUCGGAAUUACUGGGCGUAAAGCGCACGCAGGCGGUUUGUUAAGUCAGAUGUGAAAUCCCCGGGCUCAACCUGGGAACUGCAUCUGAUACUGGCAAGCUUGAGUCUCGUAGAGGGGGGUAGAAUUCCAGGUGUAGCGGUGAAAUGCGUAGAGAUCUGGAGGAAUACCGGUGGCGAAGGCGGCCCCCUGGACGAAGACUGACGCUCAGGUGCGAAAGCGUGGGGAGCAAACAGG
This 429-nucleotide ribosomal RNA is filed under the name Chloroflexota bacterium. RNAcentral describes it as "Chloroflexi bacterium partial 16S ribosomal RNA". It matches the Rfam family "Bacterial small subunit ribosomal RNA", at positions 355 to 776 of the family's 1533-position model. Lineage: Bacteria; Bacillati; Chloroflexota. The record is from RNAcentral.